Molecule: long non-coding RNA, 372 nt
Filed under: Eucalyptus grandis
Lineage: Eukaryota; Viridiplantae; Streptophyta; Magnoliopsida; Myrtales; Myrtaceae
Description: long non-coding RNA (EGRA_LNC005942)
Source: RNAcentral
GACAAAGAUGUUGAGAAAAUGAUAUUGGAGAAUCAAAGAAAUGGAAGUGAAAAAUCCCACCUUUAUUGUUAUACUAUUUUUUAUUUGCCGAACCUCUACACUAUGACAUAAUUGCCAUUCAACUUUGGAGCAUUCACUCGUAUUGUUCAGUGGGUUGGGGUGGUGAUACUGUAGAUACAAACUAAUAGCCACUAUAAUUGAGUGUUACACAGAAUUUGGUCUGCCUAAUUCACUGUGUUCGCCCUAAUACUCGACCACAAUGGCCAGAAGCUAAGGCGAUCACAAGGUAAGUCCUCAGUUCUUGUGGAUGACUGCGUAAACUCUUCAUGGUACUCCAACCGGUGCAAUGUUCCAUAUGUCCCUGGCAUACUC